This is a long non-coding RNA of Neopsephotus bourkii (Bourke's parrot), 2199 nucleotides long. RefSeq lists it as uncharacterized. The transcript is spliced from 3 exons. NCBI's taxonomy places the organism in Eukaryota, Metazoa, Chordata, Aves, Psittaciformes, Psittacidae. The record is from RefSeq and is a predicted model, not a curated record.
CUGUUCACUGUAUUGUUGACAGGUAUGCAGACUGCUGACUGUUACUGAAAGCUGACAAAAUAACUGGACUUCUACUGGAAAGAAGUAAUUAAUUCUUUCCCCAAGCAGAGAUUGUUGUUAACUAUUCCAGAACGGUAACUGUUAAAAGCAUCCACUCUCAGAGAUACUCUAAUGAAGACAGAAGGUUUAUAUAGGCUUGGCUAGUCCCCAUGGUAACAGCCUUUCUACUGGGUUACCAUAGGAAUCGUCAAAGCCUUUGUAAGCUGCCCUUAAUAGAGCAUACACGCUUUCCAGGCAGACUGGAAUAUCUGUUAGAGGAUACACCUCCUGUUGUUAAAUAUAAAUAUAAACAGAUUUUGUUUUGGAGUGGUACUCAUCUCUGUUUAAAUAGCUGUGCUACUCUUUACGUUAGAGUUAUAUUAAACAUUGGAGUCACCUGUGAUACAGGAAAACAUGUGAUAACUGAAUGGUUUUACGAACAAGACAACCCAUAUACGUUUGUACCUAGACUGCAGGGAACUGCAGGCAAAAAUACCGUUCUAUACAGUAGCCCAAACCUCACAGUACAUUGCCCUUUCACCUUCCUGUGGACGUUGCAGAGCUGUAGUCAGUCUGAAGCUUUGCUGGACAGAAGUUAUACAACAGGAAACAAACAAGCAAGAAACGGAGCCAAAGGAAACAAACAGAAACCUCAGCUGAAUGAAACAAGCAGAAAGCAAGCCAGUGACUGACUUCAGCACUCCAGAAGUUCCUGCUCCUGAUAGCAAUUGCACGAGUAUCAGCACCAGUAGCAGCUAGAGCAACAGGCAGAGUUAUCAUUCCAUGUCAUCACUCGAGUAAAUCAAGAAGCCCUCCUCAAACAUACCGAAGGCUGUUGUUUCUUGUCAGUUGCAUGGCAUGCAGGUAAUCAGAUAUUUUAGUUGCAUCAAAGGUGAAGUUGCCAGUGACAUAUCCCAUGCUGACCACCACUGUACCAAAAAGCAAAUUCACCAGGGGCUUCAAAACAUGCGGAUUCCAGAAAAAUGUAAUGGCAAGAUUAUCUUUAGCCCAAAGAACCCAUCAGUAGUCUGCAAAAGUCUUACCAAGGGGGAAAAAAGAAUAAAAAAAGCUUCAAGAAAAAUAGAGAAACCUUCUUUGGAAACAGCCUCACCAAAAUGGAAAGAAAAUGCAAUGGUUUAGACUGCUACUCUAAUCAUGCAGUUCUGUGUGAGGUAAAGAGCUUAGGAUUUAAAAUCGAGAGGCUAUUUCUUGAGGGCUUCUAAGGUUUGUCACUGAGGGGGACCAUGGAAGGGCUGUCUAUAGGUAGGCAAUGCUUCUCUACAACCCCUGACACUAUUCAGGAAGCGAAGUAAUGAUGUAGUGAAGGCAACUUCAAAACUGGUUUUUAAACAGAUGGUUGCAAAGGGUCUGUGUUGCCCCUCUUUUAGGUUUUGUACAAUUUAAAACAUAUAGAGCGAACUUAGAACAUGUAAUUGAAAAAAUAUGAAUAAGGAAACUUUUUGGAACUUUGGAAGAGCACUUCUACUGAGGGCUUUUGUUGCUGGGAAUGGAGCUGGAGAAACAGCACUCCAAUAAUGCAAUAGUGAGCAGUAAGACUUGGUUGGCAUUUGGCCUUCUGCUGGGACAUGAAGCAGCAGGACUUCUGCACGACAGCUGGCAGGAUAAGACUAGCACAAUGCCUACUGAAAUAAAUGAAAUCCAUCUCAUGAAACUGAAGAGAGGUGGUGGAUGGAGAUCUAUUGUGCUGCACCUGAAAUAUCUGGGAGGUGAAUCCUUUCUCUUUUGUCUUGUUUCACCUGUAAUGCUCUUGGUGCAGAUGCUUUCAUAACAGGUGGUUAAAAUGUCAUUGAAAGUCUUGUUACCAAAUUAAUUCCUUUGGAAGGAGAAGGAAUUCCUUUGUUGCCUUCCUCCACUCUCCAGAACAGAUUUUGUAAAAUUCUGGAUAUUUUGUUAUUCAUGUUAUCCAUUAAACUUACAGGAUCAGUGGAUAACUUACUCUCUUUUUCUUUCCUGUCACUGGGUAAUUUUCAUACUUUACAUUUAAAUCACAGUGAGGUCUUGAAGCUGUGGUAAAUAAAUGAAUAGCUAGCUAUAAUUCUUGGGUUAGUUUCAAAUUUUUGACAGGUAAAGAGGGUUGGAAUAUCGGUAUUACCAAACACUGGUAAGAAUAACUCUUUCACACUAUUAGGGUAAGAAAGC